This 95-nucleotide ribosomal RNA is filed under the name Cebus imitator (Panamanian white-faced capuchin). The record is from RNAcentral. Lineage: Eukaryota; Metazoa; Chordata; Mammalia; Primates; Cebidae.
GUCUACAUCCAUAUCAUCCUGAAUGUACCAGAUCUCAUCUGAUCUUGCAAGCUAAGCAGGGUUGGACCUGGUUAGCACUUGGGUGGGAGAAAACA